GAAUAUUGAAUCAAAGAAAAGACAUUUUUUUGAAUCUGGAAUUGAACCUUAAUGUUCAUAUUUUGCAUCUGGAAUCGAAUCUGAACCUGCUUUUAUCAUGCAAUGUGAGUAUCUAUUAAGCCUUUUUUUUAUAAGAAAAUAUAUGGUAUGCUUACUUUAAUUUAUUAUCGAUUGUAACUUUCAGUUGCAAUAUUUUGAUGCCUUCAUCUGCUGCCUUCUACCGCUGAUUGUUGUGCAUUCACCACUAUUGUGAGUAUUUAUUUGCAAAAGAAUUCUGACAUGCUUAAUUGAAUCUCAUCUCAAAUACAUUUAUGAUUAAUUAAACCUAUUUGUCAAUUGGAACUUGAAGUUACCUUCACAUAAUGACUCGCUUCCCACAUGGUGCUGCUUGCUAUACACACUCAUUGCUAUUUGGAAAUUGUGAGUAUUUGUUGGAAAGUAAAUUGUUCUUUGUUAUCAUACUUGAAAUUCAUUGAAUUUAUAUUAUUCUAUACGAAUCUGUUUUAAAAUUCUGUUUUGGUGUAGGUUUACUCUGUUUUAUCCAAAACAAAUUUUGCUGCAAUUCUGCAGGUAUAGUAGUUAAAUUGGAUCAGUUUUAAAAAUUCUGCAGUUCUUAUUUUGACUGAGUUAUUCAAUCAA
Molecule: long non-coding RNA, 639 nt
Filed under: Trifolium pratense (red clover)
Lineage: Eukaryota; Viridiplantae; Streptophyta; Magnoliopsida; Fabales; Fabaceae
Description: long non-coding RNA (TPRA_LNC005664)
Source: RNAcentral